RNAcentral lists this ribosomal RNA (711 nucleotides) under uncultured bacterium. RNAcentral's name for it is "bacterial SSU rRNA". It matches the Rfam family "Bacterial small subunit ribosomal RNA", at positions 56 to 755 of the family's 1533-position model. The record is from RNAcentral.
UGCAGUCGAGGGGCAGCAUGAUUUGUAGCAAUACAGAUUGAUGGCGACCGGCGCACGGGUGAGUAACGCGUAUGCAACUUACCUAUCAGAGGGGGAUAGCCCGGCGAAAGUCGGAUUAAUACCCCAUAAAACAGGGGUCCCGCAUGGGAAUAUUUGUUAAAGAUUCAUCGCUGAUAGAUAGGCAUGCGUUCCAUUAGGCAGUUGGCGGGGUAACGGCCCACCAAACCGACGAUGGAUAGGGGUUCUGAGAGGAAGGUCCCCCACAUUGGUACUGAGACACGGACCAAACUCCUACGGGAGGCAGCAGUGAGGAAUAUUGGUCAAUGGCCGAGAGGCUGAACCAGCCAAGUCGCGUGAAGGAAGAAGGAUCUAUGGUUUGUAAACUUCUUUUAUAGGGGAAUAAAGUGGAGGACGUGUCCUUUUUUGUAUGUACCCUAUGAAUAAGCAUCGGCUAACUCCGUGCCAGCAGCCGCGGUAAUACGGAGGAUGCGAGCGUUAUCCGGAUUUAUUGGGUUUAAAGGGUGCGUAGGUGGUGAUUUAAGUCAGCGGUGAAAGUUUGUGGCUCAACCAUAAAAUUGCCGUUGAAACUGGGUUACUUGAGUGUGUUUGAGGUAUGCGGAAUGCGUGGUGUAGCGGUGAAAUGCAUAGAUAUCACGCAGAACUCCGAUUGCGAAAGGCAGCUUACUAAACCAUAACUGACACUGAAGCACG